AGUGAACGCUGGCGGUAGGCCUAACACAUGCAAGUCGAACGGCAGCACAGUAAGAGCUUGCCCUUACGGGUGGCGAGUGGCGGACGGGUGAGGAAUACAUCGGAAUCUACUUUUUCGUGGGGGAUAACGUAGGGAAACUUACGCUAAUACCGCAUACGACCUACGGGUGAAAGCAGGGGAUCUUCGGACCUUGCGCGAUUGAAUGAGCCGAUGUCGGAUUAGCUAGUUGGCGGGGUAAAGGCCCACCAAGGCGACGAUCCGUAGCAGGUCUGAGAGGAUGAUCAGCCACACUGGAACUGAGACACGGUCCAGACUCCUACGGGAGGCAGCAGUGGGGAAUAUUGGACAAUGGGCGCAAGCCUGAUCCAGCCAUACCGCGUGGGUGAAGAAGGCCUUCGGGUUGUAAAGCCCUUUUGUUGGGAAAGAAAAGCAGCAGGUUAAUACCCCGCUGUUCUGACGGUACCCAAAGAAUAAGCACCGGCUAACUUCGUG
Molecule: ribosomal RNA, 492 nt
Filed under: uncultured bacterium
Lineage: Bacteria
Description: partial 16S ribosomal RNA
Rfam family: Bacterial small subunit ribosomal RNA
Source: RNAcentral